Molecule: ribosomal RNA, 118 nt
Filed under: Pteropus alecto (black flying fox)
Lineage: Eukaryota; Metazoa; Chordata; Mammalia; Chiroptera; Pteropodidae
Source: RNAcentral
GUCUAUGGCCAUGCCACCUUGAACAAGCCGGAUUCUGUCUGAUCUUGAUAGCUAAGCAGGGUUGGGCCUGUUAGUACUUGGAUGGGAGACCACCUAGGAAGACCGGGUAUUAUAGGCA